RNAcentral lists this ribosomal RNA (497 nucleotides) under uncultured bacterium. Its description in RNAcentral is "partial 16S ribosomal RNA". It matches the Rfam family "Bacterial small subunit ribosomal RNA", at positions 28 to 507 of the family's 1533-position model. The record is from RNAcentral.
GACGAACGCUGGCGGCGUGCCUAAUACAUGCAAGUUGAGCGCUUAAGGUUGGUACUUGUACCGACUGGCUGAGCAGCGAACGGGUGAGUAACGCGUGGGGAAUCUGCCUUUUAGCGGGGGACAACAUUUGGAAACGAAUGCUAAUACCGCAUAAAAACUUUAAACACAAGUUUUAAGUUUGAAAGAUGCAAUUGCAUCACUCAAAGAUGAUCCCGCGUUGUAUUAGCUAGUUGGUGAAGUAAAGGCUCACCAAGGCGAUGAUACAUAGCCGACCUGGGAGGGUGAAAGGCCAAAAUGGGAAGGAGACAAGGCACAAAAUCAUAAGGGAGGCAGAAGUAGGGAAUCUUAGGCAAUGGAAGAAAGUCGGAACGAGCAAAGACGAGUGAGUGAAGAAGGUUUUCGGAUCGUAAAACACUGUUGGUAGAGAAGAACGUUGGUGAGAGUGGAAAGCUCAUAAAGUGACGGUAACUACACAGAAAGGGACGGCUAACUACGUG